Molecule: ribosomal RNA, 695 nt
Filed under: uncultured bacterium
Lineage: Bacteria
Description: bacterial SSU rRNA
Rfam family: Bacterial small subunit ribosomal RNA
Source: RNAcentral
GGUUAGUAAUGGGUAGGUAACGUACCCUGUGCUUUGGGAUAGCGUCAUUCGCCUUCGGGCGAAUUUCCGAAAGGGGCGGUAAUACCAAAUAAUAUCAUUUGUCGAUAGGCAAAUGAUCAAAGAUUUAUCGGCAUAGGAGCGGCCUUCCUCCUAUCAGCUUGUUGGUGAGGUAAUGGCUCACCAAGGCAGCGACGGGUAGCGGGACUGAGAGGUUGACCCGCAACAUCGGGACUGAGACACUGCCCGGACCUCCACGGAGGGCUGCAGUAACGAAUCUUGCGCAAUGGGCGAAAGCCUGACGCAGCGACGCCGCGUGUAGGAGGAAGUCCCUCGGGAUGUAAACUACUGUCAGGGGGAAGAAAGUCCACUCCGGUGGAUUGAUCCAACCCAGAGGAAGUCACGGCUAACUUCGUGCCAGCAGCCGCGGUAAGACGAAGGUGGCAAGCGUUGUUCGGUAUUACUGGGCUUAAAGCGUGUGUAGGCGGAAAGGUAAGCGUCCUGUGAAAGCCCCCGGCUUAACCGGGGAAUUGCGAGACGAACUGCUUUUCUUGAGGCAAGUAGGGGUGCAUGGAACUCUUGGUGGAGCGGUGGAAUGCGUAGAUAUCAAGAGGAACGCCGGUGGAGAAAUCGGUGCACUGGGCUUGUUCUGACGCUGAGACACGAAAGCGUGGGGAGCGAACGGGAUUAGAUACCCC